ACGAUCGCGUUGGGGUGCCCUUAUGGGCUGAGAGGCGGUGAGCCAACCCACGAACCUGAUCCGGGUCAUGCCGGCGGAGGAAACGGAUCGCGCACGCCC
RNAcentral lists this non-coding RNA (99 nucleotides) under Ancylobacter novellus. Its description in RNAcentral is "Starkeya novella TPP sequence". It matches the Rfam family "TPP riboswitch aptamer (THI element)". Rfam says of the family: Vitamin B(1) in its active form thiamin pyrophosphate (TPP) is an essential coenzyme that is synthesised by coupling of pyrimidine and thiazole moieties in bacteria. The previously detected thiamin-regulatory element, thi box was extended, resulting in a new, highly conserved RNA secondary structure, the THI element, which is widely distributed in eubacteria and also occurs in some archaea. The record is from RNAcentral. Lineage: Bacteria; Pseudomonadati; Pseudomonadota; Alphaproteobacteria; Hyphomicrobiales; Xanthobacteraceae. RNAcentral also lists the same sequence under 1 other name.